Molecule: signal recognition particle RNA, 99 nt
Filed under: Anaerolinea sp.
Lineage: Bacteria; Bacillati; Chloroflexota; Anaerolineae; Anaerolineales; Anaerolineaceae
Also listed under: 1 other name
Description: signal recognition particle sRNA small type
Rfam family: Bacterial small signal recognition particle RNA
About the family: The signal recognition particle (SRP) is a universally conserved ribonucleoprotein involved in the co-translational targeting of proteins to membranes. Archaeal SRP consists of a 7S RNA and homologues of the eukaryotic SRP19 and SRP54 proteins. In most bacteria, the SRP consists of a 4.5S RNA and the Ffh protein (a homologue of the eukaryotic SRP54 protein).
Source: RNAcentral
AGUUGGGUCCUACGCGGCGGAGCCUUCGAACCGUGUCAGGUCCGAAAGGAAGCAGCACUAAGGAGUAUACUCCGGGUGCCGUAGGGGUGCCUAGCUCCA